AUAUCAAUAAGCGGAGGAAAAGAAACCAACAGGGAUUGCCCUAGUAACGGCGAGUGAAGCGGCAACAGCUCAAAUUUGAAAUCUGGCCCCUUCGGGGUCCGAGUUGUAAUUUGCAGAGGAAGCUUCGGCGUUGGCCCCGGGUUAAGUCCCCUGGGACGGGGCGCCCUAGAGGGUGAGAGCCCCGUACUCACCCGGGUGCACCUCGCCGUGUGAAGCUCCUUCGACGAGUCGAGUUGUUUGGGAAUGCAGCUCUAAGCGGGAGGUAUAUUUCUUCUAAAGCUAAAUACCGGCCAGAGACCGAUAGCGCACAAGUAGAGUGAUCGAAAGAUGAAAAGCACUUUGGAAAGAGAGUUAAAAAGCACGUGAAAUUGUUGAAAGGGAAGCUCUUGCUGCCAGACUUGCCGCGGUUGCUCAGCCGCCCCCCGGGGCGGUGUACUCUUCCGUCGGCAGGCCAGCGUCGGUUCGGGCGGCCCGAUAAAGGCCUCGGGAAUGUAGCACCUCUCGGGGUGUGUUAUACUAUAGCCCGUGGUGUAAUGCGGCCAGCCCGGUCCGAGGCACGCGUUCGCGAGGACGCUGGCGUAAUGGCCGCAAGCGACCCGUCUUGAAACACGGACCAAGGAGUCUGACAUCUGUGCGAGUGUUUGGGUCUGACACCCAUGCGCGUAAUGAAAGUGAACGGAGGUGGGAACCCCCCCGAGGGGCGCACCAUCGACCGAUCCUGAUGUCUUCGGAUGGAUUUGAGUAAGAGCAUAGCUGUUGGGACCCGAAAGAUGGUGAACUAUUCCCGGAUAGGGUGAAGCCAGAGGAAACUCUGGUGGAGGCUCGCAGCGGUUCUGACGUGCAAAUCGAUCGUCAAAUCUAGGAAUAGGGGCGAAAGACUAAUCGAACCAU
Molecule: ribosomal RNA, 891 nt
Filed under: Roccella canariensis
Lineage: Eukaryota; Fungi; Ascomycota; Arthoniomycetes; Arthoniales; Roccellaceae
Description: LSU rRNA
Rfam family: Eukaryotic large subunit ribosomal RNA
Source: RNAcentral